RNAcentral lists this ribosomal RNA (138 nucleotides) under Candidatus Phytoplasma sacchari. Its description in RNAcentral is "partial 16S rRNA". Lineage: Bacteria; Bacillati; Mycoplasmatota; Mollicutes; Acholeplasmatales; Acholeplasmataceae. The record is from RNAcentral.
CGCUGUCGGCGUGCCUAAUACAGAAUCGCGAAAGAGAAAUUUUCGGAUUUUAGAGUCGAACGGGUGAGUAACACGUAAGCAACCUGCCUUUAAGACGAGGAUAACAAUUGCCUAAGUUGCUAAGACUGGAUAGGAAAU